This 73-nucleotide transfer RNA is filed under the name Bos taurus (domestic cattle). It matches the Rfam family "tRNA". From Rfam's summary of the family: Transfer RNA (tRNA) molecules are approximately 80 nucleotides in length. The record is from Rfam by way of RNAcentral. RNAcentral also lists the same sequence under 2 other names. Lineage: Eukaryota; Metazoa; Chordata; Mammalia; Artiodactyla; Bovidae.
UCCUAGGUGGUCUAGAGGCUAAGACUCUGCACUACCAAGGCAGGGGGCCUGGGUUCAAUCCCCGGUCUGGGAA